AUACCUACCUGGCAGGGGAGGUACCAUGAUCAUGAAGGUGGUUUUCCCAGAGCGAGGCUUAUGCAUUGCACUCUGAAUGUGCUGGCCCCUGUGAUUUCCCCAGAUGUGGGAAACUUGACUACAUGAUUUGUGGUAGUAGGGGGCUAUAUUCGUGCUCUCUUCUG
Small nuclear RNA from Artibeus jamaicensis (Jamaican fruit-eating bat), 164 nucleotides. RefSeq annotates it as U1 spliceosomal RNA. The record is from RefSeq and is a predicted model, not a curated record. The transcript has a single exon. NCBI's taxonomy places the organism in Eukaryota, Metazoa, Chordata, Mammalia, Chiroptera, Phyllostomidae.